Habropoda laboriosa is the source of this 545-nucleotide long non-coding RNA. RefSeq lists it as uncharacterized. The record is from RefSeq and is a predicted model, not a curated record. The transcript is spliced from 3 exons. Lineage: Eukaryota; Metazoa; Arthropoda; Insecta; Hymenoptera; Apidae.
GGAAAAGGCAAGAGCAUGGAGUAGGGUAGAGACGAAGAAAAAGAAGAAGUACUCGUAUCGAUAAAAAGAUCAUCGGAUUUUCGUUUGUAAUCAAAAUAGUGAAUGAAUUAUGAAAAUUCUCGCUAAUGUUAAAAAGUGCAGUCCCUUGAAAUAACUGAAUACGAGAAGGGAGACUUAUAGCUCGAAGUGGGUGCAACGAAAGAUAGUUGGGGGAGAGAGAGAGAGAGAGAGAGAGAGAGAGAGAGAGAGAGAGAGAGAGAGAGAGAGGUGGAAGUGGAAUUGGAGAGGUGGUACGAGCAGUAGUAUAGUGGUGGUGGUAGUACGGGAGAACCAGGAGGUGGAGAAGGCUUGCCAGCCGCCGGAAGAACAUCGACGGUGACGGGGGUGGGGAAGCUGUCCACCGAACGGAACGACCGCUCGGUGAUACGAACGGCAAGUCGAACGGAUACGGAUAUAUCAACCAUCGACGAUAGUUGCUGAUUUUCUGCUAGUCGGUAUCCAGCGGUGGGGGAGGAAGGAGAAGAAGGAGGUGGCGGCGGCGGUGG